CCGCAUAAAGGAACUCCAUGUGCGUGCCGCACGGCACAGGCUCGUAUCGAAGAAAGAGGUUCUUUCUUUCCCUCCGAGCGCCCAGCGGUGCGUGAGCCCAGGUGCAGAGAAAAUCGGCGGCGGCACGGCUAGGCUGCCUGGCUGGCUGGUCUUUUGGGAUCGAGCAGCGCGGCGGCGGCGGCGGCGGCGUUUUAGAAUUUGGGCGUGCGGGGAGGGAACAGGGGCUGGAGCGGCCGGAACCGUGGUCGGUACCGCAAGUGGCGCGCGUACUUCCUGGAGUACUCCUUCAUGCCGUUCCACCGGGAGCCGCAGGUGCAGAGGCAGAGGCAGCGGAGGCAGAGGCCAUACAUGCAGCGGUAAUUGUUGUUGCAGCUGCAGCUGCGGUAGAAGGCGUUCUAGCCGUAGUCGCGGGGGCCGUGGCGGCGGCGGCUGCGCCGGGAGGGGCGGGGGCGGGGGCGGGGGCCGCGGCCGCUGCCCCGGGAGGGCUUGGGGCGGGGGAGGCAGCAGCAGCCGGUCCUCCGCGGCGCCUUGGCCUGGCCCCUCGAGCGCCGCAGGUCGCCGCCGCGCGAGCGCGAGCGGUAGGAGACGUUGUUCCGGGACAAGGGGCAGUCCCAGGGGUAGUGGUAGCGCGAGUGCGGCGGGUAGCGGUCCGAGGAGCGGGCGACCUUCGAGCAGUUCUCGGAGUUCGUCUGGACUCGACACGGAAUAACGUUCACGAGACCCUCUAACGGCGUAGGUCAGGUCCUAAGUUCCAGAUGAAAGGUCCCGUAGGCGUUACCUCGCUGCGGCAUUUAAUGGGGUGAGACGGCAGACCACGGUAACGUGAACAAACUAAAAACAGUCCUGUACCAACGUACGUGAACGUAGUUUCAAAGUAUGCGUCCUUGAGAACAAUAGGGGACUUGAGUCUCCGCCGUUGAGUAAGAGACUUAAAACAUUGAAUAUGUUUUUCUCUUCAAACUCUUGCCUUAUUCGUGAUACUACUAAUUAGGUUCAUCUAAAUGAAUACACCGAAAAGUUCUAACAACUAUAGUGUAAGACAAUGUCUGUAAACCAGACACUACCGUACUAACCUUAAGUACGUGUUGAGAAAUUAAACAAUUUACAGACACUAUACAAUAAAAAAAACGGUGCAUAUCGAGUAAUUAAACAAGCUAUAGACAUCAUACUAGACAACUAAUAAAAAACUACGUAGUAGACUAGACCAACUUUGAGACAUGACUUUUUACAAGUACACUGCAGACUUCGUGACUUGGACUUGUCUGACGUAGUUCUAACCACGCCGAGGUUCGUGGCCAUCUGUCACCGGGAGGCUAGGUGAUCAUAUCCGGCGGAAGCAGAGGACGGGCGCGCGUGCCAGGUUGUUGGUCGUCUCUUGUCGGAGGCAGCUAGGGGGCGCGCGGAGGCAGAGCGACAGCGGCGAAGUUGACGGCCGGCCGUCCGUCGCGACGGAGGCUGGUCGAGCGGGCCGCCUUUGUACUAGCAGACGCAGCGGCAGCAGCCGGUGGUCUUGUUGGGCGACAUGGACGUCUCGAAGUGCCUCCGCCUGCUGCGGGAGUUCGAGGUGGUGCAGCAGGUGACGAGGGAGCUGCAGUAGCUGCUCGCUCACUUGUUAGGAUUUUUCUCACGUGGAUGUGACUUGCUUUGUAAAAACCCAGAAGAUAUAGGCUGACUCUUGAUGUUUCACAUACCGAUAAACUGUUUGUGUUUCCAGUUUAAAAAUUACCAAUGAUGACUAGAACUACACUUUCUACGUCUACGGGCUUUAAAAAAGUCCUUCAAGGUACGACGUAUGCACCUGCGGCAGAGCUUGGGGAAGGUGCAGGGUCCCUUCUUCUAGCGGAGCUCUUCGAAGCCACGCUCUCACUCGUGGUAUCACUUUAGGAAACCGAGUCCCUGACAGCCAAUUUUUGGUGUAGGCGGACUCGUGGGAGGCGUUAGUUAACAGGACACGAAAUGUGGAAUUGGCCGUUGGAUAGAAAUGGAGGUAACACAUAGUGUUUUACAUACAACCUGUUCUUUAUCAAACUGUGAGUUCCCUCUCAUAUACCGACAAUAACUAAUGAUUCGUAAUACGGAACAAAGAGAAGGAAGUUAAAUCACGUCG
This 2107-nucleotide ribosomal RNA is filed under the name Triticum aestivum (bread wheat). Its description in RNAcentral is "partial small subunit ribosomal RNA". Lineage: Eukaryota; Viridiplantae; Streptophyta; Magnoliopsida; Poales; Poaceae. The record is from RNAcentral.